Molecule: long non-coding RNA, 540 nt
Organism: Juglans microcarpa x Juglans regia
Lineage: Eukaryota; Viridiplantae; Streptophyta; Magnoliopsida; Fagales; Juglandaceae
Exons: 2
Source: RefSeq, a predicted model, not a curated record
UUUUUGCAGGAGAUUUGGACUCUUUGGUUUGAAGUUUAUGUUGCUUUGACGUUAUAUGUCGUGGUAGAUAUUCUUCUGGAUCUUUACUUUUACAGGCAGUUAUUGAAUCUUUGAUGGUUGCCAUUUCCUCUAUUGUUGAUGUUAUGCAGGCAAUGGGAUCCUCUAUAGGCUCUUUGCUCUCGAGGGUGAGAUUUGCAUUGUUGAUACAACCAUUUCUGUUGCUUAUAUUGUAUUGCAGGUUCUAUGUGUGAGUAAAUUUCUCUUUACCCCACUUCUUUUCGUUACUAGACAAGUCUCAUUUUUCACUCAAGUGAUUUUUCCUAUGUGUGUGGGACUCAAAGUUACAUGCCAUAAUUCAGAACUUUCAUGCGUUUUUGUAAAUUGAUUGUUCCAAUGUUUGUAGUUGGAUAGUUAAGAGAAUGAACCUAACUCUGUAAGAUUAUAACCUGUUAUGGAAUAUCUGAUUGCUCUUCUGUGUUUUGACAAGUUUAAUAUGUAGCAGGAAAGGUUGAUGAUAAAGGUAUUAGGUGCAAUAUUUGC